Molecule: long non-coding RNA, 763 nt
Filed under: Rattus norvegicus (Norway rat)
Lineage: Eukaryota; Metazoa; Chordata; Mammalia; Rodentia; Muridae
Description: long non-coding RNA NONRATT020885
Source: RNAcentral
UCUUACUGCUGAGCUCUCCUUCAAAUCACUGCUGCCAUGGCCUGCAGACCUAGAAGCCCACCCUGUUAUGGGAGUCGCUGCGAGCCCGCGGUCCCCUGCGAGAUGGAGUCUCGGACCGAAGCGCAGAGCAGAGGGAAGAAACCGGAAGCCUGAGGUCUUGGAAGAAGAAGAGCUCCAGACUGCGGACCUGAAAGCUUUACAACUCCUGAAGGCUGUAAGCCCCGUUCUAGAUGUUCUGACUGGGCAAACACAGUUGAAGAAGAUGAAAUGAGGACCAGAGUUAACAAAGAGAUUGCAAGGUACAAAAGAAAGCUAGUCAUAAAUGACUUUGGAAGAGAGGGAGAAAAUCAUCUUCAGGAAGUUCUGAUUCAAAGGAGUCUGUGUCUUCAGUGUCUGCUGAUGUGGAGACAGAUGAAAGUGUCUUGAGAAGGCAGAAGCAGAUCAACGAUGGGAAGAAUGCUAUGGCCUAUGAUCGAUACAUUAAAGAGGUGCCCAGACACCUGUGACAACCUGGAAUCCAUCCCAGGAGCCCCAACGAAUUUAAGAAGUAUAGCCGGCGGUCAUGGGACCAACAGAUUGAACUCUGGAAGAUGGCUUUGCAUUUUUGGGAUCCUCCUGCUGAAGAAGGGUGUGAUUUGCAAGAAAUACAACCUGUAGAUCUUGAGGAAAUGGAGACAGAAUUCACAGAAAGCAGCUUUGAGUCCUAGACAAGUUCACAGGAUAACUCUGAUGUAUAUGCUGGCACACCCACCAAAGUCAGACA